GCGCCCGUAGCUCAGCUGGAUAGAGCGACGGCCUCCGGAGCCGUAGGUCGCAGGUUCGAAUCCUGCCGGGCGCGCCA
RNAcentral lists this transfer RNA (77 nucleotides) under Labilithrix sp. RNAcentral's name for it is "tRNA-Arg". It matches the Rfam family "tRNA". From Rfam's summary of the family: Transfer RNA (tRNA) molecules are approximately 80 nucleotides in length. Their secondary structure includes four short double-helical elements and three loops (D, anti-codon, and T loops). Further hydrogen bonds mediate the characteristic L-shaped molecular structure. tRNAs have two regions of fundamental functional importance: the anti-codon, which is responsible for specific mRNA codon recognition, and the 3' end, to which the tRNAs corresponding amino acid is attached (by aminoacyl-tRNA synthetases). tRNAs cope with the degeneracy of the genetic code in two manners: having more than one tRNA (with a specific anti-codon) for a particular amino acid; and 'wobble' base-pairing, i.e. permitting non-standard base-pairing at the 3rd anti-codon position. Lineage: Bacteria; Pseudomonadati; Myxococcota; Polyangiales; Labilitrichaceae. The record is from RNAcentral. RNAcentral also lists the same sequence under 3 other names.